Xenia sp. Carnegie-2017 is the source of this 685-nucleotide long non-coding RNA. RefSeq lists it as uncharacterized. NCBI's taxonomy places the organism in Eukaryota, Metazoa, Cnidaria, Anthozoa, Malacalcyonacea, Xeniidae. The transcript is spliced from 2 exons. The record is from RefSeq and is a predicted model, not a curated record.
AGUCAUAGCCCAAAACAAUUGUAUUGGGAGUAAUCGAGAUUCAAAAAACCUGCCAAUCAGAGCAGAUUGUCGUCGAUGUUGGCUUUUCCAGGUGACAAUACUCGUCAGUAAAAUGAAUGCACGUGAUAACGUCAACAUUCUAACAAUAUCAUAAAACGUAUUUGUUUAAAACGUAGGAACAAAAGCUUUAAGAUUUUCCUUAUUCGUAAUAAUAUUAUCACGAGUAGAACUGUGUACACACAGCGACUAUAUUACAUAAAGGACGUUUCUUCGAGGCAAGUUAAGUUCCUCUAGAUGAUGCUUAACAAACAUUUAUUUAGUUAAAAUAAACUUCAAUGUCUUUAGGAAGUGUGAGACGUGUCGUGAAAUAACGCUAUAUAAGAAGGUGAUUCAGCAGGAAUUUGAAGAUGUAGGACCGGAAAACUAUCAUGAUAAAAUAAUAUACGAUUUUCACAAUACAACAUCUUAGGCCUGUUUUAUACGUCGCAUUUUACAUGAGCCGAAUGCAUUUAAAACAAAAGACAAUGAAGGAGUUCAUCUCAUUUUCUUUCGUCUUUAAUGCAUUCAGUUAAUAUAAAGUUCGACGUCUAAACUAGGUCUUACAAAAAUACCAGUAGGACUGGAAAGGUAUCAUGAUAAACUGAUAUACGAUUCUUACAAUAAAACGUCUUACAAAGAUACCAGA